This 1195-nucleotide long non-coding RNA is filed under the name Diabrotica virgifera virgifera (western corn rootworm). Its description in RNAcentral is "uncharacterized LOC126882446". The record is from RNAcentral. Lineage: Eukaryota; Metazoa; Arthropoda; Insecta; Coleoptera; Chrysomelidae.
CUAACAACACACAACAUUCCAGGAAUGUACUACCAAAGUUCUAUCAAUAUUUGAAUGUCCUGGACAUUUAGGGAACAUUCGGUGAACAUCUGAUUAAAUUAUUCGUGGAAUGUUACCAUAAGACAUUCUGUGAACAUACUACCAAUGUUCCUAUAUGUUCAUUUUCAAAUUCACGGCGCAUGUAUUUGUGCAUGGUGCUUAGAGAGGGCAUCACGUGACUAAAAACGACCAAUGACCUCACUUCAGACUUCGGUGCUUCGGCCAUCUUGACAUGCAUCUUGGCCUUGGCCACAUGGCCACCUUGCCGUGCGUGAUCGUUGUUUGUUUUUAUUUGUGCUUUUUAAGAAUAUUUUUUAAUUCGGAUACUUUUAUAAUAACUUUAAUAGUAUUAUUAAUAUAGUGCAUAAAAUCAGUUGGAGUAGCAGAAGCAAUGUAGAUAAAAAAUCUGCAGGAAUAAUGUUUCAAAGCUUUCCAGAAGAUCCUGCGAAGAAGGCAUGAAGUAUUGAUCAGAUUUGUUAAUAGAGCAGUAUGUUCAAAACAUUUUUUAGAAAAAGAUAUUGACAGAACUUCACUUUCAACCGUUUGAGAGACUGUGCUGUUCCAAUAGCUUAUAUCACACAGAAUCAGCUGAGAGAAGUGGUCUACAAAAAACCAGGAAGGAAAUGGAAUAUGUGGCUAUGAAAGGCAAAAGAAAGGUUUACAAAGCAAAUGUGACACAUUUUUUUAUAGGAAUAUCAGUAAAUUACAUUAAAAAAAUGUAUGAAAAGAUUUUUUGCAAUAAAAAUGUUUAUAUUUAUCAAGGAUGCAUUAUUUGGUAUGGCCACAUAUCGUCAGUGAUGUGACAAUACCUCCUAUCUGUUUUUUCAUGAGAUUUGUAAGAUAGACUAAAAAAUUGUUUGGGCCACCUCCUGUUUUCAUAUAUUUUUUGACUUGUUUUGCAGUAAAUUUAACUAUCUAUUUACUACAAAACAAGCCAGAACUUACGUAUGCAAACAGGAGGUGACCUUAAAAAAUGUUUUUCGUCUCCUGCAAACCUCAUGAAAAAAGAUAUAGGAGGUAUUGUCACAGCACUGACGAUAUAUUUCAGAGAAUGUCUAAAAAAUAUACUGUGAAUGUUCAAAGAACGUUCGUAGACAUUCAUGGAAUGUUCCAACAAGACAUUUAGUCUAAAAAAUAUACUGUGAAUGUCCAAAGA